AGCUUGCUCUCGGGUGACGAGCGGCGGACGGGUGAGUAAUGUCUGGGAAACUGCCUGAUGGAGGGGGAUAACUACUGGAAACGGUAGCUAAUACCGCAUAACGUCGCAAGACCAAAGUGGGGGACCUUCGGGCCUCAUGCCAUCAGAUGUGCCCAGAUGGGAUUAGCUAGUAGGUGGGGUAACGGCUCACCUAGGCGACGAUCCCUAGCUGGUCUGAGAGGAUGACCAGCCACACUGGAACUGAGACACGGUCCAGACUCCUACGGGAGGCAGCAGUGGGGAAUAUUGCACAAUGGGCGCAAGCCUGAUGCAGCCAUGCCGCGUGUGUGAAGAAGGCCUUCGGGUUGUAAAGCACUUUCAGCGGGGAGGAAGGCGGUAAGGUUAAUAACCUUGGCGAUUGACGUUACCCGCAGAAGAAGCACCGGCUAACUCCGUGCCAGCAGCCGCGGUAAUACGGAGGGUGCAAGCGUUAAUCGGAAUUACUGGGCGUAAAGCGCACGCAGGCGGUCUGUCAAGUCGGAUGUGAAAUCCCCGGGCUCAACCUGGGAACUGCAUUCGAAACUGGCAGGCUAGAGUCUUGUAGAGGGGGGUAGAAUUCCAGGUGUAGCGGUGAAAUGCGUAGAGAUCUGGAGGAAUACCGGUGGCGAAGGCGGCCCCCUGGACAAAGACUGACGCUCAGGUGCGAAAGCGUGGGGAGCAAACAGGAUUAGAUACCCUGGUAGUCCACGCCGUAAACGAUGUCGAUUUGGAGGUUGUGCCCUUGAGGCGUGGCUUCCGGAGCUAACGCGUUAAAUCGACCGCCUGGGGAGUACGGCCGCAAGGUUAAAACUCAAAUGAAUUGACGGGGGCCCGCACAAGCGGUGGAGCAUGUGGUUUAAUUCGAUGCAACGCGAAGAACCUUACCUGGUCUUGACAUCCACAGAACUUUCCAGAGAUGGAUUGGUGCCUUCGGGAACUGUGAGACAGGUGCUGCAUGGCUGUCGUCAGCUCGUGUUGUGAAAUGUUGGGUUAAGUCCCGCAACGAGCGCAACCCUUAUCCUUUGUUGCCAGCGGUUAGGCCGGGAACUCAAAGGAGACUGCCAGUGAUAAACUGGAGGAAGGUGGGGAUGACGUCAAGUCAUCAUGGCCCUUACGACCAGGGCUACACACGUGCUACAAUGGCAUAUACAAAGAGAAGCGACCUCGCGAGAGCAAGCGGACCUCAUAAAGUAUGUCGUAGUCCGGAUUGGAGUCUGCAACUCGACUCCAUGAAGUCGGAAUCGCUAGUAAUCGUAGAUCAGAAUGCUACGGUGAAUACGUUCCCGGGCCUUGUACACACCGCCCGUCACACCAUGGGAGUGGGUUGCAAAAGAAGUAG
RNAcentral lists this ribosomal RNA (1357 nucleotides) under Klebsiella pneumoniae. Its description in RNAcentral is "bacterial SSU rRNA". It matches the Rfam family "Bacterial small subunit ribosomal RNA", at positions 77 to 1429 of the family's 1533-position model. Lineage: Bacteria; Pseudomonadati; Pseudomonadota; Gammaproteobacteria; Enterobacterales; Enterobacteriaceae. The record is from RNAcentral.